Molecule: ribosomal RNA, 1619 nt
Filed under: uncultured eukaryote
Lineage: Eukaryota
Description: partial Eukaryotic large subunit ribosomal RNA
Rfam family: Eukaryotic large subunit ribosomal RNA
Source: RNAcentral
ACCUCCAAUCAGUCAAGAAUACCCGCUGAAUUUAAGCAUAUUAUUAGGCGGAGGAAAAGAAACUAACCAGGAUUCCCUCAGUAACUGCGAGUGAAGCGGGAGAAGCUCAGACUGAAAAUCUUCGGAAUUGUAGUCUGGAGAAGCAUGGUCAGCCGAUGGUCUCGGGCAAAGUCUUCUGGAAAGGAGCGCCUUGGAGGGUGACAGCCCCGUUCAUGCCUGAGACUAGAAGCGUACGACCUGCUUUCUACGAGUCGAGUUGUUUGGGAUUGCAGCUCUAAGUGGGUGGUAAAUUCCAUCUAAAGCUAAAUAUUGGUGGGAGACCGAUAGCGAACAAGUACCGUGAGGGAAAGAUGCAAAGAACUUUGAAAAGAGAGUUAAAUAGUACCUGAAAUUGCUGAAAUGGAACCGUUGGGAGGCAGUGUCGGUGUGGGUACUUGUAUCCGCACAAGCCAGGCUUCUUUUGCGGCGCGGGAGAGGCUUUAGAACCUGUAUGGGUCUAUUGUGCCGUCGCGCUGUAGAAGGACUCUGACGAAAUGCCUCUCAUCACCCCGUCUUGAAACACGGACCAAGGAGUCUAACAUGUGUGCGAGUGCUCGGGGUGAACCCCCCAGCGCGAAAUUAACGUAAAGGUGGAUUUAUUCACUUAGGUAGGAACUUCGGUGCACUAUCGACCGACCAUGAUCCUCCGGGAGAAAGGUUUGAGUGUGAGCAUACAUGUUGGGACCCGAAAGAUGGUGAACUAUGCCUGAAUAGGGUGAAGUCAGAGGAAACUCUGAUGGAGGCUCGCAGCGAUUCUGACGUGCAAAUCGAUCGUCAAAUUUGGGUAUAGGGGCGAAAGACUAAUCGAACCAUCUAGUAGCUGGUUCCUCCCGAAAUUUCCCUUAGGAUAGCUGCAACCGAACAGUUUUAUCAGGUAAAGCGAAUGAUUAGAGGCCUCAGGUGUGGAAUGCUCUUGACCUAUUCUCAAACUUUAAAUGGGUAAGAACCCUGGGUUGCUUAAUUGAACCCGGCGGUCGAAUGACGGUUGCUAGUGGGCCAAUCUGGGUAAGCUAGAUUGGCGAUGCGGGAUGAUCCGAACGUCAAGUUAAAGUGCCAAAGUAUCCGCUAACCUAGAUCCCACAAAAGGUGUUGGUUCAUUAAGACAGCAGGACGGUGGCCAUGGAAGUCGGAACCCGCUAAGGAGUGUGUAACAACCCACCUGCCGAAUGAACUAGCCCUGAAAAUGGAUGGCGCUGAAGCGGAUCACUUAUACUUGACCAACACAGCAAAUGCGAGGCUGUGUUGAGUAGGGGGGCGUGGGGCUCGUUGUGCAUUCUGUGGCGUAAGCCGGGAUGAAACGGGCUCUAGUGCAGAUCUUGGUAGCAGUAGCAAAUAUUCAAAUGAGAACUUUGAAGACUGAAGUGGAGAAAGGUUCCAUGUGAACAGUAAUUGGACAUGGGUGAGUCGAUCCUAAGAGAUAGGAGAAUUCUAUUUGAAAGCGGUCCUUCCUCGGAUGGACCCGGCUAUCGAAAGGGAAUCGGGUUAAUAUUCCCGAACCAGAACGUGGAUAAUGAGUGGUAACACAAACGAAACUGGGGACGUUGGCGAGAGCCCCGGGAAGAGUUCUCUUUUCUUUUUAA